GACGAAUGCUGGCGGCGUGCUUAACACAUGCAAGUCGAGCGAGGCCCCUCCUUCGGGAGGGUGUCCUAGCGGCGAACGGGUGAGGAACCCGUUGGCAACCUGCCCUCAGCCCUGGGAUAACUCCGGGAAACCGGGGCUAAUACCGGAUACGACCUCCACGGUCAUCUGCGGGGGUGGAAAGGUUUUCGGCUGGGGAUGGGCCCGCGGCCUAUCAGCUAGUUGGUGGGGUAGUGGCCCACCAAGGCGACGACGGGUAGCCGGCCUGAGAGGGCGACCGGCCACACUGGGACUGAGACACGGCCCAGACUCCUACGGGAGGCAGCAGUGGGGAAUAUUGCGCAAUGGGCGGAAGCCUGACGCAGCAACGCCGCGUGAGGGAUGACGGCCUUCGGGUUGUAAACCUCUUUCGGCAGGGACGAAGCGAAAGUGACGGUACCUGCAGAAGAAGCACCGGCUAACUACGUG
Molecule: ribosomal RNA, 465 nt
Filed under: uncultured bacterium
Lineage: Bacteria
Description: partial 16S ribosomal RNA
Rfam family: Bacterial small subunit ribosomal RNA
Source: RNAcentral